ACCUGGCUGGCUCAGUUGAUAGAGCAUAUGACUCUUGAUCUUAGAGUUGUGAGUUUGAGCCCCACACUGAGUG
RNAcentral lists this transfer RNA (73 nucleotides) under Felis catus (domestic cat). It matches the Rfam family "tRNA". From Rfam's summary of the family: Transfer RNA (tRNA) molecules are approximately 80 nucleotides in length. Their secondary structure includes four short double-helical elements and three loops (D, anti-codon, and T loops). Further hydrogen bonds mediate the characteristic L-shaped molecular structure. tRNAs have two regions of fundamental functional importance: the anti-codon, which is responsible for specific mRNA codon recognition, and the 3' end, to which the tRNAs corresponding amino acid is attached (by aminoacyl-tRNA synthetases). tRNAs cope with the degeneracy of the genetic code in two manners: having more than one tRNA (with a specific anti-codon) for a particular amino acid; and 'wobble' base-pairing, i.e. permitting non-standard base-pairing at the 3rd anti-codon position. The record is from Rfam by way of RNAcentral. Lineage: Eukaryota; Metazoa; Chordata; Mammalia; Carnivora; Felidae.